CCUGCAAAACGAAUCUAAGUUCCCCCUUAACCCUCUUUUUCCUCCCCAGACAAACCCAACCCAAAUGUGAUAGUUAAGGGCUAUUUAAAGGGGGUACAGCCCCUUUAAAAAAGGACACAGCCUCCACCAGCGGAUAACCCCUGUACGCCCAACCCCGUGGGCCUUAAAGCAGCCACCCCCAAAGAUUGCGUCAAAGCUCCAUCAACCAAAAACCCCCAAAACCAAUGCGACUCCCUACACCCACAGCAGGCCAACCUAUAACAAUAGAUGAAUCAAUGCUAGAACGAGUAACCAGGACACUACGUCCCCCCAAGCGCCAGCCUGUAUACCAUUAACAGUAAAACCUCAAUAAUAACCACCCCCACCAUUGAACCCACCCUGUCAACCCAACUCAGGGGCGCACACUGGAGUGAUCAAAAUCUACAAAAGGAACUCGGCAAACCUAAGACCCGACUGUUUACCAAAAACAUAGCCUUCAGCCAAACAAGUAUUGAAGGUGAUGCCUGCCCAGUGACACCAUGUUUAACGGCCGCGGUA
RNAcentral lists this ribosomal RNA (537 nucleotides) under Ara macao (Scarlet macaw). Its description in RNAcentral is "partial 16S large subunit ribosomal RNA". The record is from RNAcentral. Lineage: Eukaryota; Metazoa; Chordata; Aves; Psittaciformes; Psittacidae.